RNAcentral lists this ribosomal RNA (274 nucleotides) under uncultured bacterium. RNAcentral's name for it is "partial 16S ribosomal RNA". It matches the Rfam family "Bacterial small subunit ribosomal RNA", at positions 523 to 796 of the family's 1533-position model. The record is from RNAcentral.
AUACGGAGGGUGCAAGCGUUAAUCGGAAUUACUGGGCGUAAAGCGCGCGUAGGCGGCUAAGUAAGUCGGAUGUGAAAGCCCUGGGCUCAACCUGGGAAUUGCAUUCGAUACUGCUUGGCUAGAGUAUGGUAGAGGGUAGUGGAAUUCCUGGUGUAGCGGUGAAAUGCGUAGAUAUCAGGAGGAACAUCAGUGGCGAAGGCGGCUACCUGGGCCAAUACUGACGCUGAGGUGCGAAAGCGUGGGUAGCAAACAGGAUUAGAAACCCGGGUAGUCC